CCGGCACAGGCCAGCAUCGGUUUUCGCGGGGGAUAAGACCGACGGGAACGUAGCACCCUCCGGGGUGUGUUAUAGCCCGGCGGACGAUACCCUCGCGGGGACCGAGGUCCGCGCUCCGCAAGGAUGCUGGCGUAAUGGUCAUCAGUGACCCGUCUUGAAACACGGACCAAGGAGUCGUCCAUUAGAGCGAGCGUUUGGGUGUAAAACCCGCACGCGUAAUGAAAGUGAACGCAGGUGAGAGCUUCGGCGCAUCAUCGACCGAUCCUGAUGUUCUCGGAAGGAUUUGAGUAAGAGUUUUAACGGACGGACCCGAAAGACAGUGAACUAUGCUUGUAUAGGGUGAAGCCAGAGGAAACUCUGGUGGAGGCUCGCAGCGGUUCUGACGUGCAAAUCGAUCGUCAAAUAUGAGCAUGGGGGCGAAAGACUAAUCGAACUGUCUAGUAGCUGGUUACCGCCGAAGUUUCCCUCAGGAUAGCAGUGUUGAUCUUCAGUUUUAUGAGGUAAAGCGAAUGAUUAGGGACUCGGGGGCGCUAUAUUGCCUUCAUCCAUUCUCAAACUUUAAAUAUGUAAGAAGCCCUUGUUACUUAGUUGAACGUGGGCAUUCGAAUGUACCAACACUAGUGGGCCAUUUUUGGUAAGCAGAACUGGCGAUGCGGGAUGAACCGAACGCGGGGUUAAGGCGCCAGAGUGUACGCUCAUCAGACACCACAAAAGGCGUUAGUACAUCUUGACAGCAGGACGGUGGCCAUGGAAGUCGGAAUCCGCUAAGGACUGUGUAACAACUCACCUGCCGAAUGUACUAGCCCUGAAAAUGGAUGGCGCUCAAGCGUACCGCCCAUACCCCGCCCCCAGGGUAGAAACGAUGCCCUGGGGAGUAGGCGGCCGUGGAGGUCAGUGACGAAGCCUAGG
Molecule: ribosomal RNA, 909 nt
Filed under: Diaporthe sp.
Lineage: Eukaryota; Fungi; Ascomycota; Sordariomycetes; Diaporthales; Diaporthaceae
Description: partial large subunit ribosomal RNA
Rfam family: Eukaryotic large subunit ribosomal RNA
Source: RNAcentral